Molecule: long non-coding RNA, 392 nt
Organism: Macadamia integrifolia
Lineage: Eukaryota; Viridiplantae; Streptophyta; Magnoliopsida; Proteales; Proteaceae
Exons: 3
Source: RefSeq, a predicted model, not a curated record
UCUCACUGAGAGUCCACCGCUAGCAACUAUGGCGAUCGAAGUGCUUGGAUUGUUCUCUGGUUUGCCUGCCCUCCUACCGAUGCCGUUUGCUACAGCCCAUAGGUGACUCUGCAAAAUUGGAUUUGUACACAGUAUUUGAUCAGCUGAAAGAAAGACAACUGACGAAGCAAAAGAACAGCAAAGCAAGUGGAGAGUCUUCGAAGGUAGGAGAAUGGCUAGCCCGAGUUAAUGAGUCAUGGAGGGAAGUGCAGAUUGUGUCAACAUUUUUUUUUUUUUUAAUAUAUAUUUUGAAUAAACAACUAUGGUUGUACUCUGUUUUGUUUUUGAGAAUGUGUAAUCCUCCCUCUCAACUUGAGGGCUACAAUGCACAGGACAAGGAUGGAAUAACAACC